RNAcentral lists this ribosomal RNA (323 nucleotides) under uncultured eukaryote. RNAcentral describes it as "partial 18S ribosomal RNA". It matches the Rfam family "Eukaryotic small subunit ribosomal RNA", at positions 1470 to 1796 of the family's 1831-position model. The record is from RNAcentral.
CCCUUAGAUGUUCUGGGCCGCACGCGCGCUACACUGAUGCAUGCAACGUGUUCUAUCCUUGGCCGGAAGGCCUGGGUAAUCUGUGAACGUGCAUCGUGAUAGGGAUAGAUUAUUGCAAUUAUUAAUCUUGAACGAGGAAUUCCUAGUAAACGCAAGUCAUCAGCUUGCAUUGAUUACGUCCCUGCCCUUUGUACACACCGCCCGUCGCACCUACCGAUCGAAGGUAAUGAUGAGCCCUCAGGAUUGUGGCCUCGUCGCGUCAGCGUCUUGGCUGCGAGAAUCUGUGCAAAUCCCUACCUUUAGAGGAAGGUGAAGUCGUAACA